ACGGGUGAGUAACACGUGGGAACGUACCCUUUUCUACGGAAUAACCCAGGGAAACUUGGACUAAUACCGUAUGUGCCCUUCGGGGGAAAGAUUUAUCGGAAAAGGAUCGGCCCGCGUUGGAUUAGCUAGUUGGUGGGGUAAAGGCCUACCAAGGCGACGAUUCAUAGCUGGUCUGAGAGGAUGAUCAGCCACAUUGGGACUGAGACACGGCCCAAACUCCUACGGGAGGCAGCAGUGGGGAAUAUUGGACAAUGGGCGCAAGCCUGAUCCAGCCAUGCCGCGUGAGUGAUGAAGGCCUUAGGGUUGUAAAGCUCUUUCACCGGAGAAGAUAAUGACGGUAUCCGGAGAAGAAGCCCCGGCUAACUUCGUGCCAGCAGCCGCGGUAAUACGAAGGGGGCUAGCGUUGUUCGGAUUUACUGGGCGUAAAGCGCACGUAGGCGGAUCGAUCAGUCAGGGGUGAAAUCCCAGAGCUCAACUCUGGAACUGCCUUUGAUACUGUCGAUCUGGAGUAUGGAAGAGGUGAGUGGAAUUCCGAGUGUCGAGGUGAAAUUCGUAGA
This 557-nucleotide ribosomal RNA is filed under the name uncultured bacterium. RNAcentral describes it as "bacterial SSU rRNA". It matches the Rfam family "Bacterial small subunit ribosomal RNA", at positions 102 to 694 of the family's 1533-position model. The record is from RNAcentral.